Molecule: long non-coding RNA, 2482 nt
Filed under: Homo sapiens (human)
Lineage: Eukaryota; Metazoa; Chordata; Mammalia; Primates; Hominidae
Description: HSALNT0405412
Source: RNAcentral
GCGAUUCUCAUGCCUUAGCCUCCUGAGCAGCUGUGACUACAGGUGCAUGCCACCUCACCCAGCUAAUUUUUGUACUUUUAGUAGAGAUGGGAUUUCGCCAUGUUGGCCAGGCUGGUCUCUAACUCCUGGCCUCAAGUGAUCGGCCAACCUUGGCCUCCCAAAGUACUGGGAUUACAGGCGUGAGCCACCACACCCUGCCACACUGGGAGCUUUUAAAAUCCCCAAUGCCUGCCCACACCUCAGAUCAAUUGCAUGAGAAUGUCCAGGGAAGGAGCCCAGGAAUCUGCAUUUUCUUAAAUUCCUGCAGCUGGUUCCAAUAUGCAGUGAAGAUUGAGAACCAGUGAGCUAGGGCUGCUAAGACCAGUGGUUCUCAAGGUAGAUAGCCCAGACCAGCAGCAUCAGCAUCACCUGGGAACUUGUCAGAAAUGUAGAUUCCUGGGUCCAACCCAGACCUGUUGAAUCAAACACUCCUGGAGUGUACCCAGCCAUCUGUGUUGUCACAAGCUCUCCAAGAGAUCCUGAUGCUUGCACAAGUUUAGAGGCUGCUGAGCUGGACAUUGGCAGGGUAGGAAAUAUGUAUUCAUCCUCCCAGUCAUUCCUUCACUCCACCAACUGCUCAUGCUUUCAGCAUACAGUAUCCCUACUACAAGCCAAGCACUGUGCCAGAUAUUGGGAAUCCAUUAAUAGGGCAGAGGUGGUGAAUUUUGCAUUCAAAGAGCUUGCAGUCCCCAUAUGGAAUUUUCCAUAUAAUAGAACCAAAGAUAGUCAUCAAAGUAGGAAGGGAUUUGAGCUGAGCCUUCCAAUAACUGCCUCAGUUUCUCUCUUUUUUCUGCCUGUGUGCAUCCAGUGUGAGCAGCUCACAUCACUGCAAAGGAAUCCGUGUGUGUACUGUCUCACUCACCCAACAUUCAUUUAGCAGACGCUUCAUUAAGCAUCUACACAGUUCCAGGUUCUGUGAUAGAAGCUAGAGAUUGAGGAAGGCUCAAGUCUCCCAAAUGACAAACUCCAGAGGUAAGCAGAACAGGUGAGAAUAAAAGAGGGUUCAGAGCAGACUGUUCCUGUUGGAAGCUCACCCCAUGACAGAUGGCAGCAUGGGUCUUCCCAGUCUGGCCAGACCGGAAUACUAGCCAGUUUCCUUCUCAUGUGUAGAAGCAGAAAAUUGUAGCAAUCAAAACUAUGGACUCUGUCCCCAACAGUCUGGGUUUAUACUUGGCUCUGAGGCUUACUAGCUGGAUGGCCUUCAGCAAGUUAUCUUAUUUCUUCAUGCCUCACUUACUUGAUCUAUAAAUUGGGAAUAUAAACAGCACCAGCCUCACUGCAUUGUUGCAAGAAUUAAAUGAGAAUUGGAAAGCUUAGAACAGUGUCUGGCAUGUAAGAAUUAUUAGUUGUACUAAUCACAAACAUUACUUUUGAAAAAGUUGCUUGAAAAUAAAAUUCAUUUUAAAAACAGAUUGCUUUUCAUGUGUACUGGAGAUCUUGCUUCUUCAAUGAUUACUGUAGGGGAUCCAUUUUAUAAAAGGAAUAACUUGAGUAACCAUAUGUUGAAUUUGCUUAAAAUGAAGUAAACAUGUCACCUGCUUCUGAGAGUGGCAGAAAGGGAGCUUUGCUAGGAAGUGUGGCAGGAUUAUUAUGAAACUCUCAUCUCAGAUGGAUCUGGAAAUCCCUUGAAGUCCCUGAUUUUGCAUCCAUGCUGGUCUGUCUUCUCUUCUUCCUUUCCCCUGAUAGUUCUUUCAACACUGAGAAAUAAGAAGAUGUUUUAACUGAGAGCUAGUAAGGGACAACACAUCCUUCAUUCUUAAUAUGUCAGGAUGGGAAAUAUUAAGAACUUCUAUGAAUCCACAAGCCACCCUUGCUCUGAAAAUGGCUUCCCUAUAUAUUUGUCUCCACUUCCUGUCUCACAGGAAGUGGCCACCUCCCGUCUUUGUGGCAUCAUAGCCAAGGUGCUUUGCCUAAAAUCACUCAUCUCUUCAAAGUCCCUGGCAUGAGCUACCCAUCACUGUCUUAUGCUCAGUGACCCAGGACCACCUAUGAGCAUCUGGGCCCAAGAGAUGAUCUCAAACUUUUCACAAUUAUUUCAGGUAUCAACAAGAUGGAAAUAAAGCCAAAAGCUGUGCUGAGAUUCAACCAUCAACAUCCCAAAAGGAAUAUUCUGUUUCCCAGCAUUUCUUGCCAAGGAUGAUCUCAGAUUCGUCUGUUUCCAUUCACUAGUGGACAAGAGAGAGAGAAGACAGCCAGUUACGAUAUUCCCAGAUGGCUAGGACACAGACCAUUCUUCCAGAUCUGGAAAUGCUAACAAUGUUUCAUUACCACAGCCCUGACCAGCUUGAAGCAACCUUCCUCAUACCCAAAUCAAAUACCUGUGUGGAGAGACUAAAUCUGUCUAAAGGCGACACAACCCACCCCGACUCAUGUGUUCAUGCAUGCACUCAAUAGGAAAACAGGGCCAGGUGUGGUGGCUCACGCCUGUAAUCCUAGCAUUUUG